Molecule: long non-coding RNA, 2043 nt
Organism: Cornus florida
Lineage: Eukaryota; Viridiplantae; Streptophyta; Magnoliopsida; Cornales; Cornaceae
Exons: 2
Source: RefSeq, a predicted model, not a curated record
GUACUCUCCCUUCUAUUUCUCUCCUAUUUAAAGACCUUUCCUUUCUUGUUUCCUUUGAUGUUGCUUUACUUUAGAGUGGAUCUGUUGAAUUACAUGGUGCGCGAUGCUUUUCUGGAUUUAUUUGUGUUCUUGAGGGUUUCUGAAAACCGAAUAAUUUUUAGUUCUUUUAAAUCCAAAAUAUCUAUUUUAAUAUCUACCAGUUCUGUAUUCGUACCCUUUUUUGUGGGUUUCUCUGAUUGUGUGCAAACAUCUUCUCCAAGAACUUCUAUUGAACCAUUAUUUGCUGUUUUUUUGGAAGGAAAAAAAGAGAGCAAAAGAUAUAGCGAAAAAGUUAAAUUUUUUGCUCGGAGUUUGAUAAUCUUUACAGAUUUUUUUUUCUUUCAAAAUUACUCAUCCACAUAAUGCAAUGCUGCAACCUUAUAAAUACAAUGAUUUGUUUUAUUUCUUUUCGCAUUCGAUGCUAUAUUGUUUAAUUGUUAUGAACUAGUGAAAAAUGUGCUGCUGUAUGUGUGUAUUUGGAGAACCAAAGAAACCUUCUUUUUUUUUUUUUUUUCAUUUUACUUUUAAUGGUUUGGUUAGGAGUUCAAGAAUCAUAGAUUGUUAUUGUAUUUUUGACCGGGCAAAAACUGAAAGAGAUGUUGUUUAUAGUUGUUUCCCUCUUGGAGGAGACAUGCCAUGUACUUUUUUCUUCUUCCACUUUUUGGGUUCAUUUUUCCUUUUGAAGCAGUAUUUUUGUAACUCUUAUCUGGGGAAAUUUGUUGUACGAUUUUGUUAAGUUAUAUUAAUAGGGAAGUGAAAUGUAGAGUUCAGUUAUUUACAUUGUAUUAGACAUUUUGGUGUUUGGUCCUGCUAUUUUUGCUUAUGAAGAGCGACAUCAUUCUUCUUGAUGGAGGUACCAGACCCUUGGCCAUCUGCUUCACUGUGUUUUUCUCCUGGCUUUUACUUACUAAUGCUUGAUAAGGAAGUUCUGAUCAUUGCAUUAGUUGUACAUUGGUUUGCUGCUUUUUAAUGUACUUUUUCACUUGCUAAUGUUUGAACUUGUACUGACCCAACUGGGAUUUUGUUUAGUGUGUUCAAUUUAUUUAUUUAUUUUUUUUUUUUUUCAGCCCUUUGUUGUGUUCGCAGGCUUUAGCACAUAGUUUACUCUGCUUUUUAAUGUACUUUCCUAUCCAAGUUUAAUUUCACAAAUUGUAUUCUUGUAUCAGAUUAAUCCAACUGGUACUGUUUUCUGAACUCUGCCGUGGUUUUUGUUACGAGUCUGUUUUCAUUAUGUUACUAGUUCUAAAUCAAAAUAGUGGUCGAUAAAUGUAAGAAAUUUGCCCAGGAAAGGAGAAAUGUAUGUAUGUUAUGUCGGAUUAAAUGUAUUUAUUGUGAGUUUGAGCUAUAAUCCAGUCUUGUUAUAUUUAUUUAUGAUGUCCAUGCUGUGCCAUAUCCUGAAGCCAGAUUAUCUGCUCUGAGUUCUCACCAAUGAUCUCAUCUUGUGCUUUUCAGUUCUUCAUUAAGAAGAUUUUGUUUCCGUUUGUUCUUCUGGUUAUCGUUUCAGUGCAUGAUUCUCUUUUAGUCAUCUAUCUGCAGUCCUGCAUUUUCAAAUUUGUUAGGUGUUCUCACCACUGAUCUCAUGUUGUGCUUUAAAAUGAUUUUUUGCUUUCUUGUUUGAUGCAGGGACCCAAUUACUUUGAGGUUGACCCCGACAUUCAUCGCUUGAGCUACAUAGCAAGGAAGGCACUUGACGCAUUCCGAGAAUACUUUUAUCAGGUAACAAUUCAGAUGUGAAGUGUGUUGAUACUCUUUUGAAGGUGAUGUGUGCUGUUAUGAAGAUGACGUGUCCUACUAUUGAAGCUUGUUCCAUGGAAGUGAAAUUUAUGUUUUUUGAAGUAUGUCUCCCGUGAGGAAAACAUACGGAAACAUCUUUUUAUUUGUUAAGCAUCUUUUUCUUCGUUUUUGAAUCCUAUUGUUGAAAUUUGUAAACAAUGAAGUGAAUUGUGUUUGAACUUUGAAUUAUAUAUCCUAUUUAAUUUAAUCUACUGUUUAAUUUGUUCUCAA